AACGCGAAGAACCUUACCUGGGCUCGAACGGCUUCGGACAAACUGUGGAAACACGGUCUUCCCGCAAGGGACUGGAGUCGAGGUGCUGCAUGGCUGUCGUCAGCUCGUGUCGUGAGAUGUUGGGUUAAGUCCCGCAACGAGCGCAACCCUUGUCCUGUGUUGCCACUCCCCUUAAAAGGAAGCACUCGCAGGAGACCGCCAGCGAUAAGCUGGAGGAAGGUGGGGAUGAUGUCAAGUCAUCAUGGCCUUUAUGUCCAGGGCUACACACGUGCUACAAUGGACGGUACAAAGCGCUGCGAACCCGCGAGGGGAAGCUAAUCGCAAAAAACCGUUCUCAGUUCGGAUCGCAGGCUGCAACUCGCCUGCGUGAAGCUGGAAUCGCUAGUAAUGGUGUAUCAGAACGAUACCGUGAAUACGUUCCCGGGCCUUUACACACCGCUCGCAA
Molecule: ribosomal RNA, 445 nt
Filed under: uncultured bacterium
Lineage: Bacteria
Description: bacterial SSU rRNA
Rfam family: Bacterial small subunit ribosomal RNA
Source: RNAcentral